CAGUCGCCGCGGGAAUACGAAGGGGGCUAGCGUUGCUCGGAAUGACUGGGCGUAAAGGGCGCGUAGGCGGCGAUCAAAGUCAGGCGUGAAAUUCCUGGGCUCAACCUGGGGGCUGCGUUUGAUACUUGAUUGCUAGAGUGGGGAAGAGGGUCGUGGAAUUCCCAGUGUAGAGGUGAAAUUCGUAGAUAUUGGGAAGAACACCGGUGGCGAAGGCGGCGACCUGGUUCAUGAUUGACGCUGAGGCGCGAAAGCGUGGGGAGCAAACAGGAUUAGAUACCCCUGUAGUCCCUGUCUCUUAUAA
This 301-nucleotide ribosomal RNA is filed under the name uncultured bacterium. RNAcentral describes it as "partial 16S ribosomal RNA". It matches the Rfam family "Bacterial small subunit ribosomal RNA", at positions 509 to 809 of the family's 1533-position model. The record is from RNAcentral.